Molecule: ribosomal RNA, 497 nt
Filed under: uncultured bacterium
Lineage: Bacteria
Description: partial 16S ribosomal RNA
Rfam family: Bacterial small subunit ribosomal RNA
Source: RNAcentral
AUUGAACGCUGGCGGCAUGCCUUACACAUGCAAGUCGAACGGUAACAGGUCUUCGGAUGCUGACGAGUGGCGAACGGGUGAGUAAUACAUCGGAACGUGCCCGAUCGUGGGGGAUAACGAAGCGAAAGCUUUGCUAAUACCGCAUACGAUCUACGGAUGAAAGCGGGGGACCGCAAGGCCUUGCGCGAACGGAGCGGCCGAUGGCAGAUUAGGUAGUUGGUGGGAUAAAAGCUUACCAAGCCGACGAUCUGUAGCUGGUCUGAGAGGACGACCAGCCACACUGGGACUGAGACACGGCCCAGACUCCUACGGGAGGGAGAAGUGGGGAAUUUUGGACAAUGGGCGAAAGCCUGAUCCAGCCAUGCCGCGUGCAGGAUGAAGGCCUUCGGGUUGUAAACUGCUUUUGUACGGAACGAAAAGACUCUGGUUAAUACCUGGGUCCAUGACGGUACCGUAAGAAUAAGCACCGGCUAACUACGUGCCAGCCGCCGCCGUAA